CAUCCAGCACCCAGGAAAGGGCACAACACAAACGUUGUUCAUUGUGUUCGCAUGCUCUUCACCCUGCUCCUGCCCACUCUGCUUUUCACCUGCCCCCUGAUAACCCAUUCAGUCCUGAAAGGUCCUUAGUGCCUGGAUUUUGUCAUCCAGCCCUGCAGGAUGCUCCCAUUUGCCCUGAGGAAGGCUGUCCCAGACAGAGAGGAGGAGAUGGAGGUAGAUACAAAGAUUGAUACGGAGGAGGAGAUGGAAAUAGACGGAGAAGACCCUGGAGAGGAAGAGAUGGAUGUGGAUGUGGAGGAGGAAGAAGAGAUGGACGUGUAUGUGGAUGAGGAAGAAGAGAUGGAUGUGGAUAUAGAAGAGUCCAUUGAGGACAUGGAUAUUGAUUAAAAAGGUGCGAUGGACAUCACAGAGACACCACCCUUUUGUAUAUAUGUUCUACAGUUUGUUGUUUUUCUUUAGAAUAUCGAUUGUAGGGCUAUUUUUGACUUCUGUAAAUACGUUUCCCAUAGUUUUCCUAGACACAGGCAGCAUUUUGCAAAGUUGUAGUUUCCACUUGCUCCAGGUUCCCAGGGCUGGAGGUCAGAAGUAGAUGAAGGGAUAAAAAUCCACAAUUAAGAGUGUCCAUGACAGCCAGAGAAAAAAGAAGCCCAGGAGAUCAGGAAAGAGGGAAGCACGUGCUCCAAACAACAGCAGAAAUGUAGUGAGUGCUCUGGAGGGAACAAAAGAGAGAAGGAGGCCUGAAGAAAUGAAAAAAGGUCCGCUUGGUCUUUCACAAAUGGAGAAGACAAUGGACAUUGUGCCAGGCUUCCUUUCAAACAGAAAAUUCUGGGGCAGCAUGACAGAAAAGAAGAAAAAAAAAAUCACCAGUUAGAACAGAACCAGUGUCCCACCAUCUUCCCCUCCGCUGUUAUUAAUUUUGAACAUUUAGAGGCAAACCUGGGUCUAAAGCUUGCAUCUCUCAGUUCCUGAUGCUAUUUUCUACCCUGCAGCCUUGACUCGCCCUGAUGUGACUGACUGCUGGGCAAGUGGGGCUGGGGAUGCUCAGCCUGGACAGAGGAGACACUGGGAGACCUCCCUGUGGCUGUGCAGGACUGGAAGGGUCCCACAGGAAAGAAGGGGACAGAGUGUUCAGC
Passer domesticus (house sparrow) is the source of this 1133-nucleotide RNA transcript. It is a transcript of the gene named probable inactive protein kinase DDB_G0270444, with no coding region annotated. The record is from RefSeq and is a predicted model, not a curated record. NCBI's taxonomy places the organism in Eukaryota, Metazoa, Chordata, Aves, Passeriformes, Passeridae. The transcript has 4 exons.